AGAAGAAAUGGGACUCCCUCCGCGACGUGCCCGGAGCAGCUCCCUUCGCUGUGGAAGCGGCGGUGUCUUCGAAGAAACCGGAAGCCCGUGGUGACCCCUGGCGACCCGGUUUGUUUUCGGUCCGUUUCCAAACACUAAGGAAUCGAAACUCGGCGGCCUUGGGGGCGGCCCUACGUAGCCUGGCUUCUGGGAACCUAACUCUCAGAGAAGUAAUGCUGAACCUAACAGCAAAAGUAGAUGUUCAGAGCAAGUCAGUUUUUCAUUAAACAAUGAAGAAGAUGAUAUCUGUAUUCUGAAUCAUGAAAAAGCCCAUAAGAGAGAUACAGUGACUCCAGUUUCAAUAUAUUCAGGAGAUGAAUCUGUUGCUUCCCAUUUUGCUCUUGUCACUGCAUAUGAAGACAUCAAAAAACGACUUAAGGAUUCAGAGAAAGAGAACUCUUUGUUAAAGAAGAGAAUAAGAUUUUUGGAAGAAAAGCUAAUAGCUCGAUUUGAGGAAGAAACAAGUUCCGUGGGACGAGAACAAGUAAAUAAGGCCUAUCAUGCAUAUCGAGAGGUUUGCAUUGAUAGAGAUAAUUUGAAGAGCAAACUGGACAAAAUGAAUAAAGACAACUCUGAAUCUUUGAAAGUAUUGAAUGAGCAGCUACAAUCUAAAGAAGUAGAACUCCUCCAGCUGAGGACAGAGGUGGAAACUCAGCAGGUGAUGAGGAAUUUAAAUCCACCUUCAUCAAACUGGGAGGUGGAAAAGUUGAGCUGUGACCUGAAGAUCCAUGGUUUGCAACAAGAGCUGGAACUGAUGAGGAAAGAAUGUAGCGAUCUCAAAAUAGAACUACAGAAAGCCAAACAAACGGAUCCAUAUCAGGAAGACAAUCUGAAGAGCAGAGAUCUCCAAAAACUAAGCAUUUCAAGUGAUAAUAUGCAGCAUGCAUACUGGGAACUGAAGAGAGAAAUGUCUAAUUUACAUCUGGUGACUCAAGUACAAGCUGAACUACUAAGGAAACUGAAAACCUCAACUGCAAUCAAGAAAGCCUGUGCCCCUGUAGGAUGCAGUGAAGACCUUGGAAGAGACAGCACAAAACUGCACUUGAUGAAUUUUACUGCAACAUACACAAGACAUCCCCCUCUCUUACCAAAUGGCAAAGCUCUUUGUCAUACCACAUCUUCCCCUUUACCAGGAGAUGUAAAGGUUUUAUCAGAGAAAGCAAUCCUCCAAUCAUGGACAGACAAUGAGAGAUCCAUUCCUAAUGAUGGUACAUGCUUUCAGGAACACAGUUCUUAUGGCAGAAAUUCUCUGGAAGACAAUUCCUGGGUAUUUCCAAGUCCUCCUAAAUCAAGUGAGACAGCAUUUGGGGAAACUAAAACUAAAACUUUGCCUUUACCCAACCUUCCACCACUGCAUUACUUGGAUCAACAUAAUCAGAACUGCCUUUAUAAGAAUUAAUUUGGAAGAGAUUCACGAUUUCACCAUGAGGACACUUACCUCUUUCAGUGGUCCUCCCAAGAAAUUAUUUAACAAACUGAAAGGGGAUUUUGAUUAAAAUUUUGCAGAGGUCUUCAGUAUCUAUAUUUGAACACACUGUACAAUAGUACAAAAACCAACAUAGUUGGUUUUCUAGUAUGAAAGAGCACCCUCUAGCUCCAUAUUCUAAGAAUCUGAAAUAUGCUACUAUACUAAUAAGUAAACUUAAGGUGUUUAAAAAACUCUGCCUUCUAUAUUAAUUGUAAAAUUUUGCCUUUCAGAAGAAUGGAAUUGGAGAUUGUAGACGUGGUUUUACAAAAUGUGAAAUGUCUAAAUAUCUGUUCAUAAAAAUAAAAGGAAAACAUGUAUGUUGCUUCAAAUUGCAUAAUGGAACAAAUGGCAAUGUGAAUAGGUUACAUUUCUGUUGCUAUAAUGCGUAAAGAUAUUGAAAAUAUAAUGAAAUAAAAGCAUCUUAGGUUAUACCAUCUUUAUAUGCUAUUGCGUUUCAAUAUUUAAGAUUUAAAGUGAUUUUUUGGUCACAGUGUUUUGUUGAUAAAAUUUUUUUAGAAUUGAAGUUUGAAUUCUAAGACUUGAAACAACCUGAUCACUGAAGCCAACUUUGUCCCAGCACAUUCCUUAAGUCCUAAUUGGAAAAAAAAAAAUGAAAUAGUUGAAAAACUCUGGGGUGUAAACAAAUGAUUGUAACCCUACACACUAUUCAAUAAGUAGUAGAAGGAGCAUCACACAGAUUUCAGUCUAAUCUGCCCUUCUGUGGGCCAUAAUAUAAACAUAAAUGUGUGUAAUGAUAAAAAGUCAUUUUCUUCAAAGAGACUACAGCUAGCUGCACGUUGUGUAGAGCAGCUUCUAAAUUGUUAGACUUUGUGUUGAAAUGUAAUAUUCUAUUUAUUGAGAAAGUGAUUUUAAAUUAUUAUUUUUAAUCAUAGAAAUCAGGGUUUGGGCUGUAUUGAUAUUGUCAAUCAUGAAAUGUCCACACUUAUUCUAAGUGGCCAAUUAUUUGGAAAUAAUAAGGAAAUAAAGAUGGCUUCACAUGGAAGUUUAAGUUCUUUCAGGGUGGAGAUUUACUUGGUUCAUACACCUUUUGCCUGAAUUAAAGUAUUUCAUGUAGGAGGACUUUUAUCCUUUUUGAUAGACAGUUUCAUAUAUCUUGAACUCAAUAUCUCAGAUCUCUUCUACUGUAUUACUGAAUAGCAUACAUACAUAGACAAUGUUCGCCAUUCACCAGAUAUUUUUUUCUAUUAUCUUACACUUAUUCAAGCUUGUCUGUGAUUAAUGGAAUCGGUGUCAGAUGCUGGAAUUUAUUCUGACCAAUGAACACAGCUGACUCAGGGGAGUACAAUCUCCUGCCAAGUAAUAGAACCAAACCCAAUAUGCAUAAAACAAAUACAAUACUCCAGGCUUUAGCUGAAGGAAGCAACUACCUGUGUAAUAACAAAGCAGCAAAAACUAUUUCUCAUGUGGCUGCAUAGGCUGUAUAUUAUAUCUGAUCUCUAAUGUAGCUUACUGGUUUGCCUUUUUUAAAACCAAAAUUGGAAAUUUUCCUUUGUAAAGAAAAAAAGUCUUAUGAGAUAAUUGCUUGAUUAAUGUUUUGAACAAUACCAAGAAAUUGUUUAAUUAAAAUAAAUAUUUUUGUUUGAAAUUGAAG
This 3119-nucleotide small RNA is filed under the name Pan troglodytes (chimpanzee). Its description in RNAcentral is "processed transcript". The record is from RNAcentral. Lineage: Eukaryota; Metazoa; Chordata; Mammalia; Primates; Hominidae.